This 1380-nucleotide ribosomal RNA is filed under the name uncultured bacterium. RNAcentral describes it as "bacterial SSU rRNA". It matches the Rfam family "Bacterial small subunit ribosomal RNA". The record is from RNAcentral.
GUUUGAUCCUGGCUCAAGAUGACCGCUGGCGGCGUGCUUAACACAUGCAAGUCGAACGGGGGUUACUUCGUGGCGAUCUUCGGAUCAAAGCGAUAUAACUCGAGUGGCGGACGGGUGAGUAACACGUGAGUAACCUGCCUUUUGCUGGGGAAUAACUGUGGGAAACCAUGGCUAAUACCGCAUGUUGUGCAUGACAGGCAUCUGUUAUGUAUGAAAGGAGAAAUCCGGCAAAAGAUGGGCUCGCGUCCGAUUAGGUAGUUGGUGGGGUAACGGCCUACCAAGCCCGCGAUCGGUAGCCGGACUGAGAGGUCGAACGGCCACAUUGGGACUGAGACACGGCCCACACUCCUACGGGAGGCAGCAGUGGGGAAUAUUGGGCAAUGGGCGAAAGCCUGACCCAGCGACGCCGCGUGAAGGACGAAGGCCUUCGGGUUGUAAACUUCUUUGGGGAGGGACGAAAAUGACGGUACCUCCAGAACAAGCCACGGCUAACUACGUGCCAGCAGCCGCGGUAAUACGUAGGUGGCAAGCGUUAUCCGGAUUUACUGGGUGUAAAGGGCGCGCAGGCGGCCCCAAAAGUCAGAUGUGAAAGAUCAAGGCUUAACUUUGACAUGUCAUCUGAAACUUUGGGACUUGAGUAUCAGAGGGGAAAGCGGAAUUCCUGGUGGAGCGGUAAAAUGCGCAGAGAUCAGGAGGAACACCGGUGGCGAAGGCGGCUUUCUGGCUGACAACUGACGCUGAGGCGCGAAAGCGUGGGGAGCCAACAAGAGUCGAUCCCCUGGUAGUCCACGCCGUAAACGAUGAUUACUGGGGGUAGGGGGUAUCGACUCCCUCUGUGCCGAAGCUAACGCGAUAAGUAAUCCACCUGGGGAGUACGGCCGCAAGGCUAAAACUCAAAGGAAUUGACAGGUCCCCGCACAAGCAGCGGAGCGUGUGGUUUAAUUCGAUGCUCCGCGAAGAACCUUACCUGGGUUUGACAUAACAGUGGUAGAGAAGUGAAAACGGAUCGACCCUUCGGGGAGCUGUUACAGGUGUUGCAUGCCUGUCGUCAGCUCGUGUCGUGAGAUGUUCGGUUAAGUCCGCUAACGAGCGCAACCCGCGCUGUGUGUUACAAGUGUCACACAGUACCGCCGGUAUUAAGUCGGAGGAAGGUGCGGAUGACGUCAAGUCAGCAUGACCUUUAUAUCCAGGGCUACACACACGCUACAAUGGUCAGAACAAUAGGUUGCCAAGCCGCAAGGCGGAGCCAAUCCUCCAAAUCUGGCCUCAGUUCAGAUUGCAGGCUGCAACUCGCCUGCAUGAAGUCGGAGUUGCUAGUAACCGCAGGUCAGCAUACUGCGGUGAAUACGUUCCCGGGCCUUGCACACACCGCCCGUCAAG